This 505-nucleotide ribosomal RNA is filed under the name uncultured Sphingobacteriales bacterium. RNAcentral's name for it is "bacterial SSU rRNA". It matches the Rfam family "Bacterial small subunit ribosomal RNA", at positions 903 to 1382 of the family's 1533-position model. Lineage: Bacteria; Pseudomonadati; Bacteroidota; Sphingobacteriia; Sphingobacteriales. The record is from RNAcentral.
CGCCUUGCCAGCCCGCUCAGAAACUCAAAGGAAGUUGACGGGGCCCGCACAAGCGGAGGAGCAUGUGGUUUAAUUCGAUGAUACGCGAGGAACCUUACCUGGGCUCGAACGUAAGAUGACUGUAGGUGAAAGCUUACAUCUCUUCGGAGCAUUUUACGAGGUGCUGCAUGGUUGUCGUCAGCUCGUGCCGUGAGGUGUCGGGUUAAGUCCCAUAACGAGCGCAACCCCUACCUUUAGUUGCCAUCAGGUAAUGCUGGGGACUCUAAAGGAACUGCCUACGCAAGUAGUGAGGAAGGCGGGGAUGACGUCAAAUCAGCACGGCCCUUACGUCCAGGGCUACACACGUGCUACAAUGGCCGAUACAGAGGGCAGCUACCUGGUGACAGGACGUAAAUCUCCAAAGUCGGUCUCAGUUCGGAUCGGAGUCUGCAACCCGACUCCGUGAAGUUGGAUUCGCUAGUAAUCGCGCAUCAGCCAUGGCGCGGUGAAUACGUUCCCGGGCCUU